GCACUGAUGGUUCAAUGGUAGAAUUCUUGCCUUCCCUGCAGGAGACCAAGGUUCGAUUCCUGGCUGGUGUA
This 71-nucleotide transfer RNA is filed under the name Loxodonta africana (African savanna elephant). It matches the Rfam family "tRNA". Rfam says of the family: Transfer RNA (tRNA) molecules are approximately 80 nucleotides in length. Their secondary structure includes four short double-helical elements and three loops (D, anti-codon, and T loops). Lineage: Eukaryota; Metazoa; Chordata; Mammalia; Proboscidea; Elephantidae. The record is from Rfam by way of RNAcentral.